CGCGGCCUAUCAGCUUGUUGGUGAGGUAAUGGCUCACCAAGGCGACGACGGGUAGCCGGCCUGAGAGGGUGACCGGCCACACUGGGACUGAGACACGGCCCAGACUCCUACGGGAGGCAGCAGUGGGGAAUAUUGCACAAUAGGCGAAAGCCUGAUGCAGCGACGCCGCGUGAGGGACGACGGCCUUCGGGUUGUAAACCUCUUUUAGCAGGGAAGAAGCGAGAGUGACGGUACCUGCAGAAAAAGCGCCGGCUAACUACGUGCCAGCAGCCGCGGUAAUACGUAGGGCGCAAGCGUUAUCCGGAAUUAUUGGGCGUAAAGAGCUCGUAGGCGGUUUGUCGCGUCUGCUGUGAAAUCCCGAGGCUCAACCUCGGGCCUGCAGUGGGUACGGGCAGACUAGAGUGCGGUAGGGGAGAUUGGAAUUCCUGGUGUAGCGGUGGAAUGCGCAGAUAUCAGGAGGAACACCGAUGGCGAAGGCAGAUCUCUGGGCCGUAACUGACGCUGAGGAGCGAAAGGGUGGGGAGCAAACAGGCUUAGAUACCCUGGUAGUCCACCCCGUAAACGUUGGGAACUAGUUGUGGGGUCCAUUCCACGGAUUCCGUGACGCAGCUAACGCAUUAAGUUCCCCGCCUGGGGAGUACGG
RNAcentral lists this ribosomal RNA (643 nucleotides) under uncultured Actinomycetes bacterium. RNAcentral describes it as "bacterial SSU rRNA". It matches the Rfam family "Bacterial small subunit ribosomal RNA", at positions 232 to 885 of the family's 1533-position model. Lineage: Bacteria; Bacillati; Actinomycetota; Actinomycetes. The record is from RNAcentral.